RNAcentral lists this ribosomal RNA (465 nucleotides) under uncultured bacterium. RNAcentral describes it as "partial 16S ribosomal RNA". It matches the Rfam family "Bacterial small subunit ribosomal RNA", at positions 28 to 507 of the family's 1533-position model. The record is from RNAcentral.
GACGAACGCUGGCGGCGUGCUUAACACAUGCAAGUCGAACGGAAAGGCCCCUUUGGGGGUACUCGAGUGGCGAACGGGUGAGUAACACGUGAGUAACCUGCCCUUGACUUCGGGAUAACUUCAGGAAACUGGGGCUAAUACCGGAUAGGAAUCCUUGCUGCAUGGUGGGGGUUGGAAAGCUUCGGCGGUUUUGGAUGGACUCGCGGCUUAUCAGCUUGUUGGUGGGGUAGUGGCUUACCAAGGCUUUGACGGGUAGCCGGCCUGAGAGGGCGACCGGCCACAUUGGGACUGAGAGACGGCCCAGACUCCGACGGGAGGCAGCAGUGGGGAAGAUUGCACAAUGGGCGGAAGUCUGAUGCAGCAACGCCGCGUGCGGGAUGACGGCCUUCGGGUUGUAAACCGCUUUCAGCAGGGGCGAAGCUUGUGGUGACGGUACCUGCAGAAGAAGCACCGGCUAACUACGUG